Molecule: non-coding RNA, 111 nt
Organism: Cricetulus griseus (Chinese hamster)
Lineage: Eukaryota; Metazoa; Chordata; Mammalia; Rodentia; Cricetidae
Source: RefSeq, a predicted model, not a curated record
UUAACAGACUAUGACAUUCGAUUUUACAUGUAUGAAAUUCUAAAAGCCCUGGAUUAUUGUCACAGCAUGGGGAUUAUGCACAGAGAUGUGAAACCCCAUAAUGUCAUGAUU